AUUCCUCGCAGACAUCGGACCGCACAGCACCAGGCCAGAACGAGACCGAACGUCGUUUGAGAUUAGCGUUUAGUUUCAUGUGGACAUGUAGGGGCCUUCGACCCCGUGUCCUUUGCAUUUUCCGCAUCUCGAAGCCCGAACGAGAAAUCGUUGGCCAAUGCCUCAAUGCGUCAAGCAUUAGUCGAGGAAAACGAGAUCCGUUGCGAGUUUCACCCUCAACCGCACCGAACGAACGGGCAGCCUAAGGCGAACGGGGGAAGAAUUGGCGACCGAAUUCCGUUAAGGUACGCAACACAGGAAACCGAGAGGAUGGCCAAUAUAUACACAUAUAAUGUGCCAAAAAUGAAGAGGAACGCACGUUAGGACGUCGCCGCACAAGGCCGGGAUCCAACCA
Molecule: unclassified non-coding RNA, 394 nt
Filed under: Scleromitrion verticillatum
Lineage: Eukaryota; Viridiplantae; Streptophyta; Magnoliopsida; Gentianales; Rubiaceae
Description: Hedyotis verticillata partial external transcribed spacer
Source: RNAcentral